ACAACAUGCAAGUCGAGCGGUAAGGCCCUUUCGGGGGUACACGAGCGGCGAACGGGUGAGUAACACGUGGGUGACCUGCCCUCCACUCUGGGAUAAGCCCGGGAAACUGGGUCUAAUACCGGAUAGGACACGUUGAUGCAUGUCUUCGUGUGGAAAGUUUUUUCGGUGGGGGAUGGGCCCGCGGCCUAUCAGCUUGUUGGUGGGGUGAUGGCCUACCAAGGCGGUGACGGGUAGCCGGCCUGAGAGGGCGACCGGCCACACUGGGACUGAGACACGGCCCAGACUCCUACGGGAGGCAGCAGUGGGGAAUAUUGCGCAAUGGGCGGAAGCCUGACGCAGCGACGCCGCGUGGGGGAUGACGGCCUUCGGGUUGUAAACCUCUUUCGCCAGGGACGAAGAGCAAUUGACGGUACCUGGAGAAGAAGCACCGGCCAACUACGUGCCAGCAGCCGCGGUAACACGUAGGGUGCGAGCGUUGUCCGGAAUUAUUGGGCGUAAAGAGCUCGUAGGCGGUGUGUCGCGUCGAUCGUGAAAACUUGGGGCUUAACUCUGAGCGUGCGGUCGAUACGGGCAUCACUUGAGUUCGGCAGGGGAGACUGGAAUUCCUGGUGUAGCGGUGAAAUGCGCAGAUAUCAGGAGGAACACCGGUGGCGAAGGCGGGUCUCUGGGCCGAUACUGACGCUGAGGAGCGAAAGCGUGGGGGAGCGAACAGGAUUAGAUACCCUGGUAGUCCACGCCGUAAACGUUGGGCGCUAGGUGUGGGGACCAUUCCACGGUUUCUGUGCCGCAGCUAACGCAUUAAGCGCCCCGCCUGGGGGAGUACGGCCGCAAGGCUAAACUCAAGGAAUUGACGGGGGCCCGCACAAGCGGCGGAGCAUGUGGAUUAAUUCGAUGCAACGCGAAAACCCUUACCUGGGUUUGACAUGCACAGGACCGCCGCAGAAUAUGUCUUU
RNAcentral lists this ribosomal RNA (953 nucleotides) under actinomycete CXB581. Its description in RNAcentral is "bacterial SSU rRNA". It matches the Rfam family "Bacterial small subunit ribosomal RNA", at positions 50 to 1015 of the family's 1533-position model. Lineage: Bacteria; Bacillati; Actinomycetota; Actinomycetes; Actinomycetales. The record is from RNAcentral.